RNAcentral lists this unclassified non-coding RNA (642 nucleotides) under Hevea brasiliensis (rubber tree). The record is from RNAcentral. Lineage: Eukaryota; Viridiplantae; Streptophyta; Magnoliopsida; Malpighiales; Euphorbiaceae.
AACCCUAUUCACAAAAAUCCACCAUUUUCUCUGUGUGCGCAUUUAUCUGUAUACAUUAUUCGGCAUUUGCAGGUCGGAGAAUCUGAUCGGAGCAAGUUGUGAUCGACGAUCGGAGUUGAAAGUUCGUUAUUCAAAGUGUUCUGCGUUAGCUUCCUUUUAUAUUUCACUUUUGUUUUUGCUCCGUAAUUCCGUUUUUCGCUCUUCUCAUUUCUAUUGAAUUUACUUAUAUAGGUAGGUGGAUUAUAUGAAUUUUGCGCUAUUAUAUAGUUUCCUCCAAGUAUUAUUAGACCUGUAAUGACGCCUAUCUACUGAUCUCUAUUUUUCGUCUUAUUCUUCUGAUUUGUCGUUCGUUGCAUUUCAUCCUCUAUGUCGGAAUCUAUGAAAUGUUUGUGCUGGUGAAUUUAUAGGUUUUGUUUGCUUAGAGUGAUUAUAAUGGAUUUGCCUUUGUUUGUAUGUGGAGAGAUACUUUUGAUGGAGUUCGUAGAAUUUGUGUUGUGUUGAUUGUGCUCUCGUCUAGGUUCCAUUUGUUGUGGAAUCUAUAAGAUUUGUGAUUGUUGUGUUAUGGAAAAAAGAAAGAGAAAGCGACUCUGUUGAGAUUAUGUUUCAGUGCCAUGAGAUCAUGAAUAAUUGGUUUGCGUGCUA